RNAcentral lists this ribosomal RNA (424 nucleotides) under uncultured prokaryote. RNAcentral's name for it is "partial 16S ribosomal RNA". The record is from RNAcentral.
CCCUAUGGGGCGCACCCGGCUGUUAUAGCAAAUGCCCAGAACGUGUUGAAUGAUGCCGGUGCCGCUGUGGUUGACGCACAGACAGCGCUGAAUGCCGCAAAUGAAGCGGUGAUAAACCUGACGGCUGAGCGCGAUGCACAAGCGUCCGCAGCGGCGGAACUGGCCGCCGCUAUCGAACAGAUGAACGCGCAAGCGGGACAAUUGGACUCUUUGUCUGCAUCUGCCGUUCAAGCUGCUCUGGGAAUGGGUAAGGUGAUCGGCGGGCAACAGGCAUUGGAUGCCCAAAAAAUCAGAUUUGCGGAGCAAAAGGCGGUUGCUUUGCAAGAAUUGGCCGAAGCGGAAGCGGAGCUUUCCGCCGGAGAGGCACAGAUAGAAGAAGCACGCAAAAUCAUUGAAGGCAAAAAGGUGGAAUUGGCGGGAGAGC